Oryctolagus cuniculus (rabbit) is the source of this 170-nucleotide small nuclear RNA. Its record names the gene U2. It matches the Rfam family "U2 spliceosomal RNA". Rfam says of the family: U2 is a small nuclear RNA (snRNA) component of the spliceosome (involved in pre-mRNA splicing). The record is from Ensembl. NCBI's taxonomy places the organism in Eukaryota, Metazoa, Chordata, Mammalia, Lagomorpha, Leporidae.
AUCGCUUCUCGGCCUUUUGGCUAAGAUCAAGUGUAAGUUUGGGGUAUGAUACUAUGAAUAUUAAAGUCCAUUAUAAUAUAAUAUUGUCUAACACUGCCUUUUAAUGUAUUUGAAUCCAGACUUAAUUUUUUUAUUUGAAAGGCAGAGUUACAAAGAGAGAGGAAGAGACA